RNAcentral lists this transfer RNA (83 nucleotides) under Nanobdellota archaeon. RNAcentral describes it as "tRNA-Leu". It matches the Rfam family "tRNA". Rfam says of the family: Transfer RNA (tRNA) molecules are approximately 80 nucleotides in length. Lineage: Archaea; Nanobdellati; Nanobdellota. The record is from RNAcentral.
GCAGAGGUAGCGAAGCGGUCAAACGCGCUGGCUUCAGGGGUCAGUGACAUUGGUCUUCGAGGGUUCGAAUCCCUCCCUCUGCA